RNAcentral lists this ribosomal RNA (495 nucleotides) under uncultured bacterium. Its description in RNAcentral is "bacterial SSU rRNA". It matches the Rfam family "Bacterial small subunit ribosomal RNA", at positions 23 to 507 of the family's 1533-position model. The record is from RNAcentral.
CUCAGAGUGAACGCUGGCGACAGGCCUAAUACAUGCGAGUCGAACGGCAGCACAGCAGAGCUUGCUCUGUGGGUGGCGAGUGGCGGACGGGUGAGGAAUACGUGGGAAUCUGCCCAGUCGUGGGGGAUAACGUAGGGAAACUUACGCUAAUACCGCAUGCGCCCUUCGGGGGAAAGCCGGGGACCUUCGGGCCUGGCGCGAUUGGAUGAGCCCACGUCGGAUUAGCUAGUUGGCGGGGUAAAGGCCCACCAAGGCGACGAUCCGUAGCUGGUCUGAGAGGAUGAUCAGCCACACUGGAACUGAGACACGGUCCAGACUCCUACGGGAGGCAGCAGUAGGGAAUAUUGGACAAUGGGCGCAAGCCUGAUCCAGCCAUGCCGCGUGAGUGAAGAAGGCCCUCGGGUUGUAAAGCUCUUUUGUCCGGAAAGAAAAGCGCCGGGUUAAUACCCUGGUGUCCUGACGGUACCGGAAGAAUAAGCACCGGCUAACUUCGUG